AGAUUGAACGCUGGCGGCAUGCCUUACACAUGCAAGUCGAACGGCAGCACGGGAGCAAUCCUGGUGGCGAGUGGCGAACGGGUGAGUAAUACAUCGGAACGUGCCCAAUCGUGGGGGAUAACGCAGCGAAAGCUAGUGCUAAUACCGCAUAAGAUCUACGGAUGAAAGCAGGGGAUCGCAAGACCUUGCGCGAAUGGAGCGGCCGAUGGCAGAUUAGGUAGUUGGUAGAGGUAAAGGC
RNAcentral lists this ribosomal RNA (238 nucleotides) under uncultured soil bacterium. RNAcentral's name for it is "partial 16S ribosomal RNA". It matches the Rfam family "Bacterial small subunit ribosomal RNA", at positions 26 to 264 of the family's 1533-position model. The record is from RNAcentral.